Molecule: ribosomal RNA, 425 nt
Filed under: uncultured prokaryote
Description: bacterial SSU rRNA
Rfam family: Bacterial small subunit ribosomal RNA
Source: RNAcentral
UAGGGAAUCUUGCACAAUGGGCGAAAGCCUGAUGCAGCAACGCCGCGUGCGGGAAGACGGCCCUAGGGUUGUAAACCGCUUUCAGCAGGGAAGAAAAUGACGGUACCUGCAGAAGAAGGUGCGGCCAACUACGUGCCAGCAGCCGCGGUGACACGUAGGCACCAAGCGUUAUCCGGAUUUAUUGGGCGUAAAGAGCUCGUAGGCGGUUCGGUAAGUCGGGUGUGAAAACUCUGGGCUCAACUCAGAGAGGCCACUCGAUACUGCUGUGACUCGAGUGCGGUAGGGGAGCGGGGAAUUCAUGGUGUAGCGGUGAAAUGCGCAGAUAUCAUGAGGAACACCAGUGGCGAAGGCGCCGCUCUGGGCCGUAACUGACGCUGAGGAGCGAAAGCGUGGGUAGCAAACAGGAUUAGAUACCCCCGUAGUCC